This 477-nucleotide long non-coding RNA is filed under the name Zonotrichia albicollis (white-throated sparrow). RNAcentral's name for it is "lncRNA (ENSZALG00000013023.1)". Lineage: Eukaryota; Metazoa; Chordata; Aves; Passeriformes; Passerellidae. The record is from RNAcentral.
CCCGCAGCCCCGCUCCCCUCCUGGCCCCGGGGUUUGUGCCGGGUGCCCCGGUCGGGCCUUGGGCACCUCCACAAGUCGCUGGGAAUGGCUGCUGACACUGCUGCUCAAGGCCGCUACAGCACCCUGCGCCUCCCGCCUCUGCUGCGUUGUGCGGGCACCUUCGGGCUCGGCCCCGGAGCCAGAGCACCUUAUGGCCUGCUAACACAGCCACACACGCAAACAGAGAGAGGACAUCAGCGUCCACCACCUUCACCCUGCAGCCCCGGAAUGACCUCCAAACAACUGGGAGCAGCUCCCAGCAGCCUGGGGCCAGCAGGCUCUCCAGGCUGGCUUUGUGAGCACGGCCAGGACUGGCAUCAUGGAAACCCCUGGGAAGCUGAGGCCGAUGGAAGCAGUGAGAUCAUACACAGGGUGAGAGUGUCGGACACAGCUUCUGCUUUAAAUGAUGGAAUGCACCAGCAGGAGGGAGAGGAGUAG